AGCAGUCGCCGCGGUAAUACGAAGGGGGCUAGCGUUGUUCGGAAUUACUGGGCGUAAAGCGCACGUAGGCAGAUAUUUAAGUCAGGGGUGAAAUCCCAGAGCUCAACUCUGGAACUGCCUUUGAUACUGGGUAUCUUGAGUAUGGAAGAGGUGAGUGGAAUUCCGAGUGUAGAGGUGAAAUUCGUAGAUAUUCGGAGGAACACCAGUGGCGAAGGCGGCUCACUGGUCCAUUACUGACGCUGAGGUGCGAAAGCGUGGGGAGCAAACAGGAUUAGAUACCCCAGUAGUCCCUGUCUCUUAUAA
RNAcentral lists this ribosomal RNA (303 nucleotides) under uncultured bacterium. RNAcentral describes it as "partial 16S ribosomal RNA". It matches the Rfam family "Bacterial small subunit ribosomal RNA", at positions 507 to 809 of the family's 1533-position model. The record is from RNAcentral.